Durio zibethinus is the source of this 1846-nucleotide RNA transcript. RefSeq lists it as uncharacterized. The record is from RefSeq and is a predicted model, not a curated record. Lineage: Eukaryota; Viridiplantae; Streptophyta; Magnoliopsida; Malvales; Malvaceae.
GGCAAAGAAAAAUUAUCAAUAUUUUCUCUAGGGAAAGAAUAAAAAUUGUUUCAAUCGACCAAUAAGAAUUAGGAUUUCAUUUUUGGCCCCAAUUUAGCAUUGUCACCGUCGUCGCCUUUGUCACCAACACCGAAGCUGUCACCACUAACGCCACGGUCCCUCUCUCUUCUCAAUAAGCCUAGUCAUCACUGAGCAUCAAACAGUACCCUCCAAUUCCAUUCCUUUUUGUUUUAGACCUCAAUCGCCGUUGAGCUGCUCCUUGAUUUUUCUUUAAUCAGAAUAAUUCACUGAAAAGGCAAGUUAUUCUAUGAAGAAAUUCGAUUUGAAGAAAUGGAUAAACUCGGCGUGCAAGACUCGGCACCCUCAGGAUUCCCUCGACAAGCACAUGGUGGAUCUCGAAAUGAAGCUCCAAAUGGUCUCCGAAGAGAUCGCCACUUCGCUAGAGGAGCAAAGCGUUGCCGCCCUCCUCCAUGUUCCUCGCGCCAUCGUGACGUCCUCCAACUUCACGACGACGCCAUUUCUCUCCGCAAUUCUGUUGUCGGCAUCCUUGACAAGUUCAAGAAGAAUCCUUUGUGGCUUCAAUAUCAGAGAAUUAAAGAGGCAUGCCAGCAAGCUAAAGCUUACAAGCUGUAAAGUGCUAAGCAAUAUCCUAGUAAACAACUGCUCCACGAGAAUCUUGGCUUUUCAAUUAAUGCAAAUGUGGGUAAUGGUGAGAUGAUUACUUUUGGCUAUUCGCACAUGCCACGAUUUAUCACGUACAGAGUUAUUUAAAAAGAUGGUUUCAUACACAACCCAGUACCAAUAACAAUAUCAUAACCGAUCAUGAUGCAUGACUUUGCAAUUAUUGAGAAUUAUGCAAUUUUCUUGGAUCUUCCUUUGUAUUUCAUACGAAAGUGAAAAAUUGGCAGGACAAUGUAAUUCAGAGCCUCCAACUAGACUGCUGAGAUAUUUAUCUAAAUACACUUGGAUGCAGUUGAGGGCCGAAAAAAAAAAAAGUUUAGAUUCGAUGUUCUGAUGGAAUUCAAACUGGCUGCUAGAGUAUUUUAGGGUUCGAAAGUCAAAUAGAUUUUGCUCUUUUUAGUCUGACUUAGCAAUUUGGUUAAGGCAAUAUUCAAAGCCUAGCUGAGUGGGCUGACCUAACUUAUUGGAGUUCACAUCAGCUCGGCUUGAUUAUUUACCCUCGCGAAGACACAUGAACAGGCAAAUAUGUCACUGUGCGAUUGAAUUGUCACAUGUCAAGUCAAGUCGGGUCGAACUCGUCAGCCCCAUGCUCUUGGACAAAAUUCUGAUUAAAUUAAUCCGGAACCUAUUCUGACACAGGUAUCUACAAUCUCUCUCCAUUCAAGUACUAUUCAUUAAAUUCUUUAUUUUUUUUUUCCAUAUUCUUCAUUUUUAAGCAUUAACCUGAGUAUCCAAGUACAAAGAGACACCGCCGACCUUUAUUAUUAACCAAGCUUCAGUCUCUGAUCUCAGAUCUUUUCAAGUUUUUUCCUCGUAGAACAACUCAGCAGUAACACUGUGCUUGAACCCUUGUAAGGGAUAUAUAUAUAUAUAUAUAUAUAAGCAGGCUGUAGAACUCAAUCUCAGUUAUGAACUUUGACAAGUACUAUUAGAGAUCUCUUUACUGAUAUAAGAUAAGAUGGUAUUGUUCUGAUGCCUAUGAAGACUACAGACAGUAUAAAAGACACCAAAAUCGAAACCCUAUACCACAAGCUUUUGAUCAUUGCCCGGAAUUUUAUUCAUUCAGAUUGUUGAACAUAAAGUUGAGGGCUUGAGCCAGGUAUUUAUUAUUAAUUAUCAAUUCUAUUAAUAAGAUACUUUAACUAAAGAACAAUGUAUAAUAAAG